This 253-nucleotide ribosomal RNA is filed under the name uncultured bacterium. Its description in RNAcentral is "partial 16S ribosomal RNA". It matches the Rfam family "Bacterial small subunit ribosomal RNA", at positions 524 to 776 of the family's 1533-position model. The record is from RNAcentral.
UACGUAGGGUGCAAGCGUUGUCCGGAAUUAUUGGGCGUAAAGAGCUCGUAGGCGGUUUGUCGCGUCUGCCGUGAAAGUCCGGGGCUCAACUCCGGAUCUGCGGUGGGUACGGGCAGACUAGAGUGAUGUAGGGGAGACUGGAAUUCCUGGUGUAGCGGUGGAAUGCGCAGAUAUCAGGAGGAACACCGAUGGCGAAGGCAGCUCACUGGGACGGUACUGACGCUGAGACGCGAAAGCGUGGGGAGCAAACAGG